GACGAACGCUGGCGGCGUGCUUAACACAUGCAAGUCGAACGGAAAGGCCCUGCUUUUGUGGGGUGCUCGAGUGGCGAACGGGUGAGUAACACGUGAGUAACCUGCCCUUGACUUUGGGAUAACUUCAGGAAACUGGGGCUAAUACCGGAUAGGAGCUCCUGCUGCAUGGUGGGGGUUGGAAAGUUUCGGCGGUUGGGGAUGGACUCGCGGCUUAUCAGCUUGUUGGUGGGGUAGUGGCUUACCAAGGCUUUGACGGGUAGCCGGCCUGAGAGGGUGACCGGCCACAUGGGGACUGCGAGACGGCGCAGACUGCUACGGGAGGCAGCAGUGGGGAAUAUUGCACAAUGGGCGGAAGCCUGAUGAAGCAGCGCCGCGGGCGGGAUGACGGCCUUCGGGUUGUAAAACGCUUUCGCCUGUGACGAAGCGUGAGUGACGGUAAUGGAUAAAGAAGCACCGGCUAACUACGUG
This 468-nucleotide ribosomal RNA is filed under the name uncultured bacterium. RNAcentral's name for it is "partial 16S ribosomal RNA". It matches the Rfam family "Bacterial small subunit ribosomal RNA", at positions 28 to 507 of the family's 1533-position model. The record is from RNAcentral.